Molecule: long non-coding RNA, 2535 nt
Filed under: Paramuricea clavata
Lineage: Eukaryota; Metazoa; Cnidaria; Anthozoa; Malacalcyonacea; Plexauridae
Source: RNAcentral
GUGAUUUAACGCUCUUUCACCAAAAAGAAUUGCGUGAUUAUUACGCAAGGUUGAGGAGUGUGCACGUGUUGUGGAAUAGACCUCGGAAUAUACCAGACAAAGUUUCUAAAAAUGGUGAGAAAUUUCUAUUUGUUGCUAUUGUUUUUUGACUGUAUAGUGAAUGCUUUAUAGAGAUUACUUAAAACUGUUUAGUAUAGUGAGAAAAAUUGUGAAAAUAUACAGUAAAUAAGUUAUAAAUAAUGUGUUUGUGGGGCGGUCAAGUAUAUUUGAGUAUUUGACUGUUUGAGAUGUUAGUAUUAAAUUUAGUGGUUGUAGACAGUGUUUUUCAUGUUAAUGUGGAAAAUAUUCUUUUGAAAAUGAGAAUUGUGUGGAGACAAAUGGUGGACAAUUCAGUUUACUUUAUAUUCAAGUGCCAUCUGCACUGUAUAAAUGUCAAAUUGACGUUUUUGAGUGAGUAGGUGGGUCAAAAUUCAAGGCUGGGUGGGUGGGUUUGGUUAAAAAUGACGUUUUGUGUGGCAAUUUGUGGAUAUGUACCCCCAGUCCUUGAAACUCAGGUCGGCAUUCUGCAAUGCCGACCUAUGUAAAUGCCGACCUGCAAAGCGAUAUGUGUAGAUUUAGGUCGGCAAAAUUUUGCAUAAUUGGUAUUUUUCGCAAUGGUAUUUUUCAAAUACCUCUCGGCUUUUUUUUCCUUGAAUACAUCUUCCACAUACGCAUUUUCAACGAUGUUUUAAUUAUCAGGUUUUGAUCAUUAGCUUGCGUAGUCACAUUGCAGUUUCAUUGUUGAAAGGUGAUACUUGAAACUUUGAAAAUAAACAUAUGUGUUAAAAUCAUCCAAGCGAAAGUAUAUGGUAAUAAAGCUGUCACAACAUUUGGUCACAACAUGCACUGUUCGAUUGGAGUUCAUACAUUUUGUUAGUUUUGUUUGCUAUUGGCAUUGAUUGCAAUUAAUUGAAGUUUAUAAAUACGCAUAUUUGCAGCAAGCAAAUAAAAUUUUUAUUUGGAUAUUUUCUAUUUGUUUUGAAAAUAUUUGCCAACCUAGAUUGAGAAUUAUCACUUUUAGGUUGGCAAUUUCUUGCCGACCUGAAAUUUCGGGAGUUUCAAGGACUGACCCCUCAAUAAAUAUGUAAUUGCAGAUUCUUGGUUCCCUUUAGGCCCCCCUCCCAAAUAUUAGGGGUGUACCGGAACCAAUUUUUAAAGUUCCGUCUGGAACCGGAUCCGUCCGGAAUCGGAUCCGGCCAGAACUGGAAAAAGUCCCGGCCGGAACUGACUUAUUAAGCCAUAUAUAGUCACAUGUUACUUUGUCUGCUGCCAGACAGGCAGACACUUCAAUUAGUCAUCAAGGAGGAGCUCACAAAUGUUAGAGUAAAAAGAUUGACAAGUGUUAAUAGUGUAAAUUUCCCUUGUGUAGUCCAGAUUUCUUCCUACUGUGAACUUUUAUUAGAUGCAAAAAUGUUUAAUAUUCUAUAUCUCUUAAAAUGACAGAGUUCCGGUUUCGGCCAUGUUUUUUUUAUUAGUUCCAGCCGGAACUCUGAAAAAUCGGAAUUCCGAACUGACCAGCCGGAACCGAGUUCCGGUGCACCCCUACCCCCCAUGUUAUGGGAUAAAAUCUGUUUCUCAUUGGCCAUCAAAUAUUGCCUGAUGCCUUGUACUGACUCAAAAACUAGUGUCAUCAAAAGUAGUUUCAUCAAAAGUUUUUGAAAUACCGUAAAUCUCGAGAUCUGAAUAUAAGCCCUGAGCUUAUAUUAGUUUGUAAGUAUUUUUUAAUGGGCUCAUAUUUUGGGGGGCCUUAUAUGUGGGCAGGGUCUUAGCUAGGAUCUUAGAUCUUGGGCGUGUUUCUAAUGACCAGGGCGUGCACAUGUCAAUUACCUUGAAUAGCAAAAUCACGGUUCUAGUUAUGCUCGCCAACAACAUGUUGCGAAUCUAUGCUUUGCAACCAGUUAUUUCAGCAACUCCUGGGGUAUUUAAAACCAUUUUAACACCAUACAGUUCCCAUUAUCCAUCAAAACAUUAAACUCAUCACAGAUCACUUUUUCAAAUUUCAACAACAACAGUAGAUUUUACAAACUUUCUUACGACGUAAAUAGGAAGAAAUUCUGUCUGUUGUAAGUAGCAAGACCUUAUUUUAUGAACCUACACGGCCUUAUAUAAAUAAUGAAGCCGCGUUCAUUUUAUCUAGCCGUGUUUUUCCACUUUUGGCCGCGAUAACACGGUCAACACGGCCCUCUAGCUAAGACCCUGUAUGUGGGGUGCUUACAUACAGACGACAUUUGUUGUUAGUAAUAGUAAUAACUCUCACUCAAAGUACCCAACCUCUUAAGACUUCCACUGACAGUAAAAUUUGCUUACCGGAGGAAUUCUAGGGCUCAAAAUCAUAUAUCCCUGAAGAAUUGAAUGUCCUCAGUAACAAGAGGGUUAUACAGAAUGAUGUUAAAUGAAAUAGCCCAAUUUUCUCUUUAGGCUGCAGCUAUUCGAAAGUUACGACCAUUACUUGAUCGAGUCAUUGUUGAGAAAUUUAUGCCAGAAACAGUGAGUAAA